Salvia miltiorrhiza (redroot sage) is the source of this 641-nucleotide long non-coding RNA. RefSeq lists it as uncharacterized. The record is from RefSeq and is a predicted model, not a curated record. Lineage: Eukaryota; Viridiplantae; Streptophyta; Magnoliopsida; Lamiales; Lamiaceae. The transcript has 2 exons.
UGUGUUUGAUUUGAUGGGACUAAUUGCAGAUGGUGGGAUAUGGAUGGGCUGGGAUGUUGAGAAAAUACUUGGUUGAUCCAGUUGACAUGUGGUGGCCUUCCAAUGUCACGCAAGUUUCCUUGUUUAGGUGAACUCGCUCGUGUUGGUGGAGGGUAAUCUUCUUCUCAUUUUAACAAUAUAGAUAGAAUAUUGAGAUCUUGAAGAUUACUUAUGUGUUUUCUGUAAAACCUUUUACCAAAAUAUUGAAUCCAAACCAAUGUCUUGCUUUUGAGAAAAUCAUUCAUCAUAUUUAUAUAUCUAUCAAAUUUGAUUUAGAUUCUGCAUUCUGUUAUAUUACUAUGCAUCAAUAUUUGAUAUAACUCACAUGUUGCCGGAUUUUUUUAAUUCUCCAGCUCAUUAGUGUAAUUGAGUUUAUCAUCUUGGCAGAUCAAGUAGAUGGGAGUCGAUGAGCUAUGAGGACUACUACAAAAGAGAAGGCUGAAGCAGAGAACGUCGUUUCAAAUGUCUAGCAAGUUGCGCGCAUUUGUAAUAUUUUUUAAUUAAUCAUAUAGCUAACUAGAAUAUUUGUGUUGUUUUCAUUAUAUUUGGAUGAUAAUGUAUGAAUAUUUCGGAUGUUAUAUAAUAUAUGUUAUCGAUGGCAA